UUCCGGUUGAUCCUGCCGGACAUGACUGCUAUCGGAUUGAUACUAAGCCAUGCGAGUCUUUGUAGUAAUACAAGGCAGACGGCUCAGUAACGCGUAGUCAACCUACCCUAUGGACGGGAAUAAUCUCGGGAAACUGAGCAUAAUACCCGGCGUACCACCAUGCCUGGAAUGGUUGGUGGUUAAAAUGAUUCGUCGCCGUAGGAUGGGACUGCGACCUAUCAGCUUGUUGGUGGGGUAAAGGCCCACCAAGGCUAUUACAGGUACGGGCUCUGAGAGGAGAAGCCUGGAGAUGGGUACUGAGACACGGACCCAGGCCCUAUGGGGCGCAGCAGGCGAGAAAACUUUGCAAUGUGCGAAAGCACGACAAGGUUAAUCCGAGUGAUUUCUGCUAAAGGAAUCUUUUGCCAGUUCUAAAAAUACUAGUGAAUAAGGGGUGGGCAAGUUCUGGUGUCAGCCGCCGCGGUAAAACCAGCACCUCAAGUGGUCAGGAGGAUUAUUGGGCCUAAAGCAUCCGUAGCCGGCUCUGUAAGUUUUCGGUUAAAUCUAUAUGCUCAACGUAUAGGCCGCCGAAAAUACUGCAGUGCUAGGAAGUGGGAGAGGUAGACGGUACUUGGUAGGAAGGGGUAAAAUCCUUUGAUCUAUCGAUGACCACCUGUGGCGAAGGCGGUCUACCAGAACACGUUCGACGGUGAGGGAUGAAAGCUGGGGGAGCAAACCGGAUUAGAUACCCGGGUAGUCCCAGCUGUAAACGAUGCAGACUCGAUGAUGCAUUGGCAUAUAGCCAGUGCAGUGUCGCAGGGAAGCCGUUAAGUCUGCCGCCUGGGAAGUACGUACGCAAGUAUGAAACUUAAAGGAAUUGGCGGGGGAGCACCACAAGGGGUGAAGCCUGCGGUUCAAUUGGAUUCAACGCCGGA
This 914-nucleotide ribosomal RNA is filed under the name uncultured archaeon. Its description in RNAcentral is "bacterial SSU rRNA". It matches the Rfam family "Archaeal small subunit ribosomal RNA", at positions 1 to 922 of the family's 1478-position model. The record is from RNAcentral.